RNAcentral lists this microRNA precursor (90 nucleotides) under Canis lupus dingo (dingo). RNAcentral's name for it is "mir-8799 microRNA precursor family". It matches the Rfam family "mir-8799 microRNA precursor family". Lineage: Eukaryota; Metazoa; Chordata; Mammalia; Carnivora; Canidae. The record is from Rfam by way of RNAcentral.
CGGGGGAGGCCGGAUCCUGGGCUGUGUCCCGGCGCCCUGUGCUCCGGGGCCUGCGCUGUUGGAUUCGCGCUCCCGGCCGUGCAGCCCCCU